RNAcentral lists this transfer RNA (82 nucleotides) under Cyanobacteria bacterium SBC. Its description in RNAcentral is "tRNA-Tyr". It matches the Rfam family "tRNA". Rfam says of the family: Transfer RNA (tRNA) molecules are approximately 80 nucleotides in length. Their secondary structure includes four short double-helical elements and three loops (D, anti-codon, and T loops). RNAcentral also lists the same sequence under 1 other name. Lineage: Bacteria; Bacillati; Cyanobacteriota. The record is from RNAcentral.
GGGUUGGCUCGCCUAUCCGUGUGGGCAGCGGUCUGUAAAACCGUCGUGAAAUGCGUUGCAGGUGCGACUCCUGCCCGACCCA